CCUACGGGUGGCUGCAGUGAGGAAUAUUGGUCAAUGGCCGGAAGGCUGAACCAGCCAUGCCGCGUGAAGGUCAGUGCCCUAUGGGCGUUAAACUUCUUUUGUGCGGGAGCAAUAAUGGUCACGUGUGGCCAGACGAGAGUACCGUACGAAUAAGCAUCGGCUAACUCCGUGCCAGCAGCCGCGGUAAUACGGGGGAUCCGAGCGUUAUCCGGAUUUAUUGGGUUUAAAGGGAGCGUAGUUGGGUUGUUAAGUCAGUUGUGAAAGUUUGCGGCUCAACGGGAAAAGUGCAAUUGAUACUGGCAGGCUUGAGUACAGUUGAGGUAGGCGGAAUGCGUGGUGUAGCGGUGAAAUGCUUAGAUAUCACGUAGAACACCGAUUGCGAAGGCAGCUUACGAAACUGUGACUGACAUUGAUGCUCGAAAGUGUGGGUAUCAAACAGGAUUAGAUACCCUAGUAGUC
Molecule: ribosomal RNA, 459 nt
Filed under: uncultured bacterium
Lineage: Bacteria
Description: partial 16S ribosomal RNA
Rfam family: Bacterial small subunit ribosomal RNA
Source: RNAcentral